Molecule: ribosomal RNA, 492 nt
Filed under: uncultured bacterium
Lineage: Bacteria
Description: partial 16S ribosomal RNA
Rfam family: Bacterial small subunit ribosomal RNA
Source: RNAcentral
AGUGAACGCUGGCGGUAGGCCUAACACAUGCAAGUCGAACGGCAGCACAGUAAGAGCUUGCUCUUACGGGUGGCGAGUGGCGGACGGGUGAGGAAUACAUCGGAAUCUACUUUUUCGUGGGGGAUAACGUAGGGAAACUUACGCUAAUACCGCAUACGGCCUACGGGUGAAAGCAGGGGAUCUUCGGACCUUGCGCGAUUGAAUGAGCCGAUGUCGGAUUAGCUAGUUGGCGGGGUAAAGGCCCACCAAGGCGACGAUCCGUAGCUGGUCUGAGAGGAUGAUCAGCCACACUGGAACUGAGACACGGUCCAGACUCCUACGGGAGGCAGCAGUGGGGAAUAUUGGACAAUGGGCGCAAGCCUGAUCCAGCCAUACCGCGUGGGUGAAGAAGGUCUUCGGGUUGUAAAGCACUUUUGUUGGGAAAGAAAAGCAGCAGGUUAAUACCCCGCUGUUCUGACGGUACCCAAAGAAUAAGCACCGGCUAACUUCGUG